Molecule: ribosomal RNA, 460 nt
Filed under: uncultured bacterium
Lineage: Bacteria
Description: partial 16S ribosomal RNA
Rfam family: Bacterial small subunit ribosomal RNA
Source: RNAcentral
CCUACGGGAGGCAGCAGUGAGGAAUAGUGGUCAAUGGCCGUAAGGCUGAACCAGCCAAGUAGCGUGAGGGAAGACUGCCCUAUGGGUUGUAAACCUCUUUUAUGCGGGGAUAAAGGUGUCCACGUGUGGAUGUUUGCAGGUACCGCAUGAAUAAGGACCGGCUAAUUCCGUGCAAGCAGCCGCGGUAAUACGGAAGGUCCGGGCGUUAUCCGGAUUUAUUGGGUUUAAAGGGAGCGUAGGACGGUCUUUAAGCGUGCCGUGAAAUUUUGUGGCUCAACCAUGAGAGUGCGGCGCGAACUGGAGACCUUGAGUGCGCGGAAGGCAGGCGGAAUUCGUGGUGUAGCGGUGAAAUGCUUAGAUAUCACGAAGAACCACGAUUGCGAAGGCAUCCUGCCGCAGCGUUACUGACGCUGAAGCUCGAAAGCGCGGGUAUCGAACAGGAUUAGAUACCCGUGUAGUC